Molecule: ribosomal RNA, 253 nt
Filed under: uncultured bacterium
Lineage: Bacteria
Description: partial 16S ribosomal RNA
Rfam family: Bacterial small subunit ribosomal RNA
Source: RNAcentral
UACGUAGGGGGCGAGUGUUACUCGGAAUUACUGGGCGUAAAGAGUGCGUAGGCGGUUUGGUAAGUCGAUAAUGAAAUCCCAGGGCUCAACCCUGGAAUGGUUGUCGAUACUGCUUUACUGGAGCGUAGAAGAGGGAAGUGGAAUUCUUGGUGUAGAGGUGAAAUUCAUAGAUAUCAAGAGGAAUAUCGAUGGCGAAGGCAGCUUCCUGGUAUACAGCUGACGCUGAUGAACGAAAGCGUGGGGAGCAAACAGG